ACGACUCUCGGCAACGGAUAUCUCGGCUCACGCAUCGAUGAAGAACGCAGCAAAAUGCGAUACUUGGUGUGAAUUGCAGAAUCCCGUGAACCAUCGAGUUUUUGAACGCAAGUUGCGCCCGAAGCCAUCUGGUUGAGGGCACGUCUGCCUGGGCGUCACGC
Molecule: ribosomal RNA, 161 nt
Filed under: Anemocarpa podolepidium
Lineage: Eukaryota; Viridiplantae; Streptophyta; Magnoliopsida; Asterales; Asteraceae
Description: 5.8S ribosomal RNA
Rfam family: 5.8S ribosomal RNA
About the family: 5.8S ribosomal RNA (5.8S rRNA) is a component of the large subunit of the eukaryotic ribosome. It is transcribed by RNA polymerase I as part of the 45S precursor that also contains 18S and 28S rRNA. Functionally, it is thought that 5.8S rRNA may be involved in ribosome translocation.
Source: RNAcentral